GUUCAUCAAUCCUAUCCUUUAACAUGGUUUCCAUCACUUUCCCCACUACUGAAGUAAGGCUUACUGGCCUAUAGUUGCCAUAGGAAAAGCAUUGAGGAAAUGAUCUACUAUAGGGAAAAGCAUUGAGGAAAUGAUCUACUAUAGGGAGGGUCUAAUGCACUCAAAGCGCAUGCAUAUUAGGUCCCCCUGUCAGAUGAUGUUGGAGGAGGCAGAGUGCCGACCCAGUGCCGAGGUACAUCAGUGCUGGAAAGAAAGUAAAUAAAGGAUUUUUUUUAUGCACCAGAGGCAGACCAAAGGGCACUAUAGUGUUAGGACUACGACUGAUCUCUUUCAAGAGUUACUCCAACCGAAAAAAAACAUUGUUUUACGAAAUCCCUGGUUUUGGUUACAGUAAUCCUUUCUAAGCCCUCCCACUAACUUGAAAAAACAAACAAAUCCUUAGCAUCUGUUCCAGCACAGAGGCCAGUUUUUUUUUCCUGCAGACCAGUCAACCACGUCUGACAUCACUCCCCCUAGCUAGGAAUUUGGCCAGGCUGAGCAGAGGACAUGGAUGACUCAGAAUGGGGGGACCAUACCACUAUUGUCUGUCUGGUGCCGGUGUUCUAUCAGUCUGGUAUACUC
Molecule: non-coding RNA, 621 nt
Organism: Pelobates cultripes (western spadefoot toad)
Lineage: Eukaryota; Metazoa; Chordata; Amphibia; Anura; Pelobatidae
Source: the annotation of a GenBank genome assembly